CGGGCCUGUUUGCAUUCCUCUCAGUUAAUAAGUGUUUGUCUGAUCCCUGGUGGAGGAGGGGGUGUGAAGAUCACCUCCCCCUCGACUCACCCAGCUGUGAAGAGGACAGCACUGAUGCUGAGAAGGUGGAUGAAGAGGAGGAAGAGGAGAACUUCCCAGACACACUCCUCAGCCGUUGACUUAUUGAAUUAACUUCAUUGCUGCAGAUCCCGCGUGGAGGUAAAGUGAAGAAGAAAUAAAGAGAAAAGAGGCCGUUUUUAAAGUGAAAAAAGUGUCAGAAAGACCUUCACAUUAAGGCUAAAGGACUUCUGUGAUAAAUCUGGGCCUCCACCAUCAACAAGACGAGAGGGAGACCAGUAAGAGACCCCCACCCCCACUCCCACAUGACAAUGGGGGGGGGGGGUCUGUGGAAAAACUGGAGGGCUCCCACAGAUACCAGUGGCUCCCAGCAGAUCCUUCCUCAACCGGUGGGUCUUCUGACACUUCCUCCAGAGCAGUCAUCUGCAGAAGAUGAUCAUGAGAUGAUUAGAGAGCUUCUGGA
Long non-coding RNA from Gasterosteus aculeatus aculeatus (three-spined stickleback), 541 nucleotides. The record is from Ensembl. Lineage: Eukaryota; Metazoa; Chordata; Actinopteri; Perciformes; Gasterosteidae.